Molecule: long non-coding RNA, 391 nt
Organism: Perca fluviatilis (European perch)
Lineage: Eukaryota; Metazoa; Chordata; Actinopteri; Perciformes; Percidae
Exons: 4
Source: RefSeq, a predicted model, not a curated record
UGGAAGUUGAAGUUGAAGCUCCUUUUCUACACAGACCUGCUGAGGACAGAAGAGAGCUGCACACUGAUGAAGUUCAUGGCUGAAAGUUCAGUUUUUCUGUGUUAAAAAGGAGCUGAGCAGGAGAGACGACAUUUUAAAACCUGUUUCCUCGUGUGCUUCGACUCUUCGCUGGAAAAACAACUCAAAUCUAAAUUAAAGUCUAAAGUGUUUCCUCUCCAGAUGAAGGUGUGGACUCUGCUAUGAGUCAGUGUGAGGACAGAGAGGAGGGAGUCCCUCCCUCUAAAACCACUCUGUGUGGGGAACAUGACAGCCAGACCAAAGCUCAGAGCCCAGAGAAGCAGCACAGACCUGGACCUGGAUCUGGACCCAGCUGUGUGUCCAUGAAGAGUGA